AGGGGGAUAACUACUGGAAACGGUAGCUAAUACCGCAUAACGUCUACGGACCAAAGUGGGGGACCUUCGGGCCUCACGCCAUCAGAUGUGCCCAGAUGGGAUUAGCUAGUAGGUGGGGUAAUGGCUCACCUAGGCGACGAUCCCUAGCUGGUCUGAGAGGAUGACCAGCCACACUGGAACUGAGACACGGUCCAGACUCCUACGGGAGGCAGCAGUGGGGAAUAUUGCACAAUGGGCGCAAGCCUGAUGCAGCCAUGCCGCGUGUGUGAAGAAGGCCUUCGGGUUGUAAAGCACUUUCAGCGAGGAGGAAGGGNAAUGUCUUAAUACGGCAUNACAUUGACGUUACUCGCAGAAGAAGCACCGGCUAACUCCGUGCCAGCAGCCGCGGUAAUACGGAGGGUGCAAGCGUUAAUCGGAAUUACUGGGCGUAAAGCGCACGCAGGCGGUUUGUUAAGUCAGAUGUGAAAUCCCCGCGCUUAACGUGGGAACUGCAUUUGAAACUGGCAAGCUAGAGUCUCGUAGAGGGGGGUAGAAUUCCAGGUGUAGCGGUGAAAUGCGUA
RNAcentral lists this ribosomal RNA (560 nucleotides) under Serratia sp. N3-4. Its description in RNAcentral is "bacterial SSU rRNA". It matches the Rfam family "Bacterial small subunit ribosomal RNA", at positions 137 to 692 of the family's 1533-position model. The record is from RNAcentral. Lineage: Bacteria; Pseudomonadati; Pseudomonadota; Gammaproteobacteria; Enterobacterales; Yersiniaceae.